GGCCUGUCCUACUUGGUCGUUAUUUUCACGUCACGCAGGUGGUGAGCGAGGAUUUUGAGCAUCCCAAAAUUCUGGGGCGCUGCGCGCUACUGCGCGUCACUGCAUACGCCACCACGUCUCAUCACGCGGCAUGCGCGUCAUGAGCACGUGCCGGGUAAAUUAUGUUGCAUA
Long non-coding RNA from Amblyraja radiata (thorny skate), 171 nucleotides. RefSeq lists it as uncharacterized. The transcript has 6 exons. The record is from RefSeq and is a predicted model, not a curated record. Lineage: Eukaryota; Metazoa; Chordata; Chondrichthyes; Rajiformes; Rajidae.